GGCUCUUUAUUUUUUUCGUCAUGGAUUUCGGAGAUGGGACAAAAGAAUGAAUAUGCUUUUGUACCAUACCAUGCGAAAUGUCCUCUUUUUGGCCAUGACUGAAUUCAAAGAGUGAAGUUGCUAUAUCUGAAUGGUGUCCAAAAACUUUUUACACUUUUGUAGAGAGAUCAUCCACAUCAGUCAAGACACAUUCAGUAAAGGACCGUCUCCGGCAUUCAAAGAACUGAAGAGAAGCACUACAACACCGUCUUUUUUAUUAAUUUUGGUUAGAUAUGACUCAUAUUUUACUAAUAAGUGAAUAUGAUGCUCGAGUUGAGUUUCUAUGAUAAAUUGUACCCUGUAAAACAAAAGUUU
Molecule: long non-coding RNA, 354 nt
Organism: Vicia villosa (hairy vetch)
Lineage: Eukaryota; Viridiplantae; Streptophyta; Magnoliopsida; Fabales; Fabaceae
Exons: 3
Source: RefSeq, a predicted model, not a curated record